AUAGCUUAAUUUAAACAAAAAUGAUUGAAAUAUAAAUAGAAGACACGUCUUCAUUGUUUUUUGCUCAACACUUUACGCAUUCCAUGCGAAAAUUCAAAAGCAUUUCUUCGGCUACUUCAAACGCAGUGCUUGCAGCGCUUCCUGCUCGAUGUCGUCAGAGAUGGUGGCCAACGUCAA
Molecule: long non-coding RNA, 177 nt
Organism: Drosophila sulfurigaster albostrigata
Lineage: Eukaryota; Metazoa; Arthropoda; Insecta; Diptera; Drosophilidae
Exons: 2
Source: RefSeq, a predicted model, not a curated record